Molecule: microRNA, 21 nt
Filed under: Ciona intestinalis (vase tunicate)
Lineage: Eukaryota; Metazoa; Chordata; Ascidiacea; Phlebobranchia; Cionidae
Description: cin-miR-78
Gene: cin-miR-78
Source: miRBase by way of RNAcentral
UGGAGGCCUGGGUGUUUCCUG